CAGCCGAGCGGUAUUUAUUCUUCGGAAUAGAGAGAGCGGCGUACGGGUGCGGAACACGUGUGCAACCUGCCUUUAUCAGGGGGAUAGCCUUUCGAAAGGAAGAUUAAUACCCCAUAAUAUUUAGGAUGGCAUCAUUUUAAAUUGAAAACUACGGUGGAUAAAGAUGGGCACGCGCAAGAUUAGAUAGUUGGUGAGGUAACGGCUCACCAAGUCAGUGAUCUUUAGGGGGCCUGAGAGGGUGAUCCCCCACACUGGUACUGAGACACGGACCAGACUCCUACGGGAGGCAGCAGUGAGGAAUAUUGGACAAUGGGUGAGAGCCUGAUCCAGCCAUCCCGCGUGAAGGACGACGGCCCUAUGGGUUGUAAACUUCUUUUGUAUAGGGAUAAACCUAGAUACGUGUAUCUAGCUGAAGGUACUAUACGAAUAAGCACCGGCUAACUCCGUGCCAGCAGCCGCGGUAAUACGGAGGGUGCAAGCGUUAUCCGGAUUUAUUGGGUUUAAAGGGUCCGUAGGCGGAUCAGUAAGUCAGUGGUGAAAUCUCAUAGCUCAACUAUGAAACUGCCAUUGAUACUGCUGGUCUUGAGUAAGGUAGAAGUAGCUGGAAUAAGUAGUGUAGCGGUGAAAUGCAUAGAUAUUACUUAGAACACCARUUGCGAAGGCAGGUUACUAUGUCUUAACUGACGCUGAUGGACGAAAGCGUGAGGAGCGAACAGGAUUAGAUACCCUGGUAGUCCACGCUGUAAACGAUGCUAACUCGUUUUUGGGCUUUAUGGUUCAGAGACUAAGCGAAAGUGAUAAGUUAGCCACCUGGGGAGUACGAACGCAAG
This 830-nucleotide ribosomal RNA is filed under the name Chryseobacterium sp. RNAcentral's name for it is "bacterial SSU rRNA". Lineage: Bacteria; Pseudomonadati; Bacteroidota; Flavobacteriia; Flavobacteriales; Weeksellaceae. The record is from RNAcentral.